GUAGGUGGCAAGCGUUGUCCGGAAUUAUUGGGCGUAAAGCGCGCGCAGGCGGUCCUUUAAGUCUGAUGUGAAAGCCCACGGCUCAACCGUGGAGGGUCAUUGGAAACUGGGGGACUUGAGUACAGAAGAGGAAAGCGGAAUUCCAAGUGUAGCGGUGAAAUGCGUAGAGAGUUUGGAGGAACACCAGUGGCGAAGGCGGCUUUCUGGUCUGUAACUGACGCUGAGGCGCGAAAGCGUGGGGAGCAAACAGGAUUAGAUACCCUGGUAGUCCACGCCGUAAACGAUGAGUGCUAAGUGUUACGGGGGUUUCCGCCCCUUAGUGCUGCAGCUAACGCAUUAAGCACUCCGCCUGGGGAGUACGGCCGCAAGGCUG
This 373-nucleotide ribosomal RNA is filed under the name uncultured organism. Its description in RNAcentral is "partial 16S ribosomal RNA". It matches the Rfam family "Bacterial small subunit ribosomal RNA", at positions 527 to 896 of the family's 1533-position model. The record is from RNAcentral.